This 585-nucleotide ribosomal RNA is filed under the name uncultured bacterium. RNAcentral describes it as "bacterial SSU rRNA". It matches the Rfam family "Bacterial small subunit ribosomal RNA", at positions 224 to 801 of the family's 1533-position model. The record is from RNAcentral.
GAUGGACCCGCGCCGUAUUAGCUAGUUGGUAAGGUAACGGCUUACCAAGGCAACGAUACGUAGCCGACCUGAGAGGGUGAUCGGCCACACUGGAACUGAGACACGGUCCAGACUCCUACGGGAGGCAGCAGUAGGGAAUCUUCCGCAAUGGGCGAAAGCCUGACGGAGCAACGCCGCGUGAGUGAUGAAGGGUUUCGGCUCGUAAAACUCUGUUAUUAGGGAAGAACAAAUGUGUAAGUAACUGUGCACAUCUUGACGGUACCUAAUCAGAAAGCCACGGCUAACUACGUGCCAGCAGCCGCGGUAAUACGUAGGUGGCAAGCGUUAUCCGGAAUUAUUGGGCGUAAAGCGCGCGUAGGCGGUUUCUUAAGUCUGAUGUGAAAGCCCACGGCUCAACCGUGGAGGGUCAUUGGAAACUGGGAAACUUGAGUGCAGAAGAGGAAAGUGGAAUUCCAUGUGUAGCGGUGAAAUGCGCAGAGAUAUGGAGGAACACCAGUGGCGAAGGCGACUUUCUGGUCUGUAACUGUCGCUGAUGUGCGAAAGCGUGGGGAUCAAACAGGAUUAGAUACCCUGGUAGUCCACGCC